GCUUUUGGUUCAAUGGUAGAAUGCUCGCCUGCCACGCGGGCGCCCAGGGUUCGAUUCCCGGCCGAUGCA
RNAcentral lists this transfer RNA (69 nucleotides) under Cordylochernes scorpioides. RNAcentral's name for it is "tRNA-Gly". It matches the Rfam family "tRNA". From Rfam's summary of the family: Transfer RNA (tRNA) molecules are approximately 80 nucleotides in length. Their secondary structure includes four short double-helical elements and three loops (D, anti-codon, and T loops). Further hydrogen bonds mediate the characteristic L-shaped molecular structure. tRNAs have two regions of fundamental functional importance: the anti-codon, which is responsible for specific mRNA codon recognition, and the 3' end, to which the tRNAs corresponding amino acid is attached (by aminoacyl-tRNA synthetases). tRNAs cope with the degeneracy of the genetic code in two manners: having more than one tRNA (with a specific anti-codon) for a particular amino acid; and 'wobble' base-pairing, i.e. permitting non-standard base-pairing at the 3rd anti-codon position. Lineage: Eukaryota; Metazoa; Arthropoda; Arachnida; Pseudoscorpiones; Chernetidae. The record is from RNAcentral.